UACGGAGGAUGCGAGCGUUACCCGGAUUUAUUGGGUUUAAAGGGUGCGUAGGCGGGCUGUUAAGUCAGCGGUCAAAUGUCGGGGCUCAACCCCGGCCUGCCGUUGAAACUGGCGGCCUCGAGUGGGCGAGAAGUAUGCGGAAUGCGUGGUGUAGCGGUGAAAUGCAUAGAUAUCACGCAGAACUCCGAUUGCGAAGGCAGCAUACCGGCGCCCUACUGACGCUGAGGCACGAAAGCGUGGGUAUCGAACAGG
This 252-nucleotide ribosomal RNA is filed under the name uncultured bacterium. RNAcentral's name for it is "partial 16S ribosomal RNA". It matches the Rfam family "Bacterial small subunit ribosomal RNA", at positions 524 to 776 of the family's 1533-position model. The record is from RNAcentral.